UACGUAGGGGGCAAGCGUUAUCCGGAUUCACUGGGUGUAAAGGGAGCGCAGGCGGUACGGCGAGUCUGAUGUGAAAACCCGGGGCCCAACCCCGGGACCGCACCGGAUACUGCCGGACUCGAGUGCCGGAGGGGCAGGCGGAAUUCCUGGUGUAGCGGUGAAAUGCGCAGAUAUCAGGAGGAACACCGGUGGCGAAGGCGGCCUGCUGGACGGUAACUGACGCUGAGGCUCGAAAGCGUGGGGAGCGAACAGG
This 253-nucleotide ribosomal RNA is filed under the name uncultured bacterium. RNAcentral's name for it is "partial 16S ribosomal RNA". It matches the Rfam family "Bacterial small subunit ribosomal RNA", at positions 524 to 776 of the family's 1533-position model. The record is from RNAcentral.